Molecule: non-coding RNA, 2442 nt
Organism: Aegilops tauschii subsp. strangulata
Lineage: Eukaryota; Viridiplantae; Streptophyta; Magnoliopsida; Poales; Poaceae
Source: RefSeq, a predicted model, not a curated record
UUUACACUUAAGUUGGUGCUAAUGAAUUGAGAAGUACAUUGUGAAUGUUUUCGUUCCCUGUAGCAUCUAUGAACGUGACGUUUUUAUUCUUUUUCUUUUUUGGCAGCAGUAGCGUUUUUCUAACCCGAGCACAUUUUUUUCAGUAGUAAAAAAAAACACAUUUGUUUUCACCACUCAAAAAAAGAAGAAGAGAAAAGACACGCCAUCACCUUGACCGUUGCAACUCCCGUCCCGAGUACCCUAGUUGGAAAUUUCCCUGUCCGUCCCCAAUUCGAGACGGAAAUCUCCCGUUCCGCUCCCGAUUCGAGACGGACGCGCCGCCGCCGACCUCCUCCUGCCCACCCCCGCUCCCGCUCCGGAUCCAGCCCCCAGCCCACCAGCUCCACUUUCCUUCUAUAUCCGCCGCCACGCACGCCACCUCGGCGAAGCCGCGUCCGCAAGGACAAGCCUCCGGCUGCCGCAACCGCCUCUGCCCCGGCUAUAAAGGCGCGCACUUUGGCCGGUCCGCUCCUCCUCUCUUCGCCCAGGCCAUGCCUCUCGCCUCGAUUCGUCCUCAACUCCUGCCUCUCCUCCUCCCGCGUCUGGUUUCAUCUUGCUCCUCCUCGCUCGACUCGUCCGUUUAGACUAGAAAGAAUUGCUCGUCCUCGAUUCGUCUGUUUUGAAGCGCGUCUGAUUUGAUUGAUUUUGCUCGUCCGCGGUUCAUCCGUUUAGAUAGAAAUCACGUCUGGUUUCAUUUUGCUCGUCCUCGCCGUCGCCAGUUUAGCAUCGCUUCCGAGUUGAUUCUGCUCGUCCUCGCCGUCGCCAGUUUAGAAUCGCUUCUGAGUUGAUUUUGCUCGUCCUCGCCGUCGUCAGUGUAGAGUUGCGUGUGAUUUGAUUCUGCUCGUCCUCCCCGUCGUCCGUUUAGACCAGAAUCGCGUCUGUUUUGAUUUUCUUGUCCUCGCCGUCGUCAAUUUAGAUAGAAUCGCGUCUUGAUUUGAUUUUGCUCGUUCUCGUCCUAGUCCGUUUGGAAUCGCGUCUGAUUUGAUUCUGCUCGAUCCCCUGUGUUGCUGCUGGGUUCUUUACACUGAUUCUCUCGCGUGUUCUUCGUGCCGUCUCAUCGGGGGUAUCCGUGGAGGAAGCGAGCGGUCGGUCGGUCGGUCGGUUUGGGUCGUCUGGUUUGCGAACUAACAAGUCUGUUUGAGAAACUUCUGCGUGCGCUUUGUUAUCUGAGAGACGCUCACGUUCCUGCGUUUCGUAUUCGCGUCGGGCCCUUGUUCGCGUCUGCUUUUGAAAUUGGAAUUGCUGUUUAUCGUGCUCGUUCAGAUCGGUUCCUCUGUUCCGUCACCUGCGCUGUUCGUCGGUUACUUUCAUAUCUCAAACGCAUGCGCCCUUUGAUACUACUUGAUGGAUGUUCAGAUCUCAAAUGUUGUGUUGUUCAGACCGGUUAUUUUGAUUGAAAUUGGAUUGUUGGUCCUCUGUCGAUUCUUAUUCUACUUGAUGGAUGUUCAGGGUGUUACUAUGUUGUUUUCAAUUGCUUACUUCUUGUCAUGCUUUGCUCAUGUUCCCAUAUAUGGUGAUGCUCAUCAUACGAGUACUAGAUGAGGUGCUGCUAGUUAGUCCCCCUUAGACUUUGUUCUAGAUAAAAGAGCAUAACUCCAGAAUUUUGUCAUUACACACUUGGGCAUAUAAUUCUGUUGUGAGCAUAAUUCCAGAAUUUAUUUAUCUGUGAAAGCUUGUUCAUCACAUGUUUUUUGUCAAUGCUGCUAACUUUAUAGCUUUCUGAGAUUACUUCGGUCUUGCAUGUAUUAGCUUUCUGUUUGUGCCCCUAUCUAAGUCUGUUUCUUGUGUGCAAGCGCUCCAUUCUGUGUGUGUCACUGUGUGUGGCUUGAUGGUGAAUAUGUGUGGCUUUAUUCUCUGUGUGUGUGUGUGGCUUGAUGGUGAAUAUGUGUGGCUUGACUCUGUGUGUGUGUGUGUGGCUUGAUUGUGUGUGUGGCUUGACUGUGUGUGUGUGUGACUCUGUGAAUAUUGCAUUUGCUUGAUGGUGUGGCUGGUAUGCUUUGUUGAAUGAUUGGUUGUAUAACUUGUGUUUUAUAUUGUUGUGGCACGAUUGGUUGCUGUUUGUUGAAUGCGAACUCGUAUCUUGACGAAUAAUCAUGUAUGCUAACUUGGUAUUGGUAGUUCCUGAUCACCUAUUACUUGUUUAGUGUAGACUGACUAUUCUUUUUUCUGAACUUUUUUGUGAUUAUGUCUUCACAUUGCACUGCUCGAUCCAUAUCGACAUGCCCACGCUGUCUGGUGAGGAUAAAGAUGUUAUGAGAAAAAUAGGGUGCCCCAACCAAGAUUGACUUCCUCUCUCUUUCUUAUACAAGGCAUGCAGAAGAUGUGUGGCAAGCAUGGGAGUUCCUCUCAAAGUUAGGUGAUCUUAGCCAAACUCUGAUUUUUGCCAAAAUUGAGAAUGUGGAG